CAAAUGGCUUCCUGUUCACCUUUUUUGCUCUCUGCAAACAUAACAUAAGUCACAACAUAACAUAGUGCCCUCAUAAAUAGUGUAGAAAAACAUUUAAGAUUCAGCCCCUGAAAGUGCACGCCUGUUUGUGUCGGUGUGUUUUUGAUGUUGUCUCAGAAAGUUUGCAUUCCCUGCUGAAACAUCCAGCUCGGGCAGAGGAGCUCCCAGCUGCCAAAACGCAGGCCGAACUGGUCAAACUGGUAGACCGCGUUUGACAGCUGGCAGAUGGACAUAGCUUUUUUUAAAUAAUGCAACAGUGAAGCAGGAACUGCUGUGUUCGUCUGUGGCAACAAUAACAACAGCGCCUUCUUCGAAACAGCUAUUCAGAACGGCUCAGUGUUGACUCCUGCUAACCUGACCGCCUUAAAUAUAACCAGUGUUCAGGGUUCAGUAUUGGGAAACGGGAGUCUUGUUCAGUGUGUCUUCAAUGUCACCCUCAAUUCCACCUUCCUCAAUUCCAUCUUCCUCAGUUCAACUGUUCAGCUGUCUUCCAACAUCAGCAUCUAUAAUGGAAGCACAAAUGGAACUGAACUGGAAAAUGCAACUACAUUAAUUACCACCGGACCUUUCGACUUGGCAAAUCCCAAGAGCAAUAUUCCAAGCAACAGCACAACACCACUGCUCAACAUCACUCGUAACGGUUGUGGCGCCACUAAGCUGUGCUUGUCAAAUGCGUCUACUUGCGAUCCAGCAGGAAACUCCAGCUGCUUUUUCAGCUCAUUUCAAGUGAACAACCAAAGUAUCUACUAUGAACUUAGUGGCACGACAUCAGGAUAUGUGGCGCUGGGACUCACUACCCAGAAUUCUACCUUUGUGUUUGUGUGCGCCAACAACACUAACAACAGCAGUUUCUUCUUUCAAACGGCUACUAAAAACGGCUCAGUUCUGACUGCUGCAAAUGUGACCACCGUAAACAGCUAUCAAGGUGUUGUAACACAAAACCUCAUUCAGUGUGUCUUCAACACCAGCGCCACUUUAAGCACCAGAGCUUCUAACACUGUGUACAGGAUCUACCUCAUGAACGGAACCACCAACGGAACUGAACUGGGUAUUGCAACUACACUGUAUACCUCCCCAUCAGCAGUAGACCUGUCUAAUCCUAGUGCCUUAAACACUGCAAACACCAACUUCUGCACUAAUGUGUUGGCUGUGCUGCUCGCCACUCUGACUCUACACCUCAUAUAAAAACCUGCCAUGUUCAUUUUAAUAUAAAAUCCCCAGAGCCUAUAAAUGUGUGUUACAGUAUCUGAUCUGUGCAUGUGUGUUUAUACAUUUAUGAAGCUAUUGUUAAUUGGCUGAACAUGGAACACAUCUGUCAUAUACAGUAUAAACAUCACCCUUUUAUUUAUUUAUUUUAUUUUUUUUUUACAGUCAAUACGAGAAAUUCAUUUGCACUUCCAUAGACGUCAGACUUUUAAAUAUAAAAAUUUAUAAUAACGAGGGCGCAAAUGUUUUGAAUAAAAUCUACUUUAUAUGAUCAUUUUAAUUAUUAAAUAAUUGUAAUUUCAGUAAUUUCAUGCUCAUCAUUUUUAUUUGAGAUACUUUAUACACCUAGGUGAAUGUAAGUUUCCACCCCUAAAACCUUCUAUAUGUUUUUCACUUUUGUUGGUUGAUAUCAUACUAAAGGUAAACAAAUAUCUAACAUGACUUGAUUUUAUUUUGGUGUUUUUUAAAUAUCAUUUAAACUAUUUUAACAGGUGUGUAGACUUUUUUAUAGUCACUGUGUGAGCUCACAGCUGGGAAAAUACACACGAGUGAAAGCAGCCUUAACGGUGUAUUUCUUUCUUUUUUACAUUUGACCUACAAUGUUGUCUAAAAACACUCAUGCCGAUUUUGUAAUGAUCUAAACUGCUAAAAUACCUAACUACAAAAGAUUUCCAUAUCAGCAUAUUUAUACAUUGUCAUAUGUGGGUUUGUUGUUGUUGUUGUGUCACAUUAUUAAGAUGGCCCCAUUUAUAAUGACUACAGUACUGUGCAAAAGUUUUAGGCACCCUAUUUGUUGUUGUUUUUUGUACAAACUUUGUUUGCUUGUUUUUUUUUCAUUUAAUGACGUCUACAUUAUGGAGUCGGUACGAAAAAAAAAACGUUUUAGAUUCCCAAACAUUCGUUUUCUGGCACAAAAGUAAAUGUUACAGAAAAAAGUAAAUCUUACAGUUGUUAAAGAAAGCAGCGUAUUAAGAGGUAAUAGAUGACUUUUCAGGCAAAAAAACCAUGACGAACGCUGCUGGGUUUCGCUGCAAAAAUAAGAAGUGCGUGCAACAGUCAAAGUCUCCAGAAGGUUCUGCGAGAUGCUCAGUAAGCCAGUAGCUCAUUUCCUUAUAAAACUGCACUAAUUAUACCGGAGACUACUAUUUUAUUUUUAUUUCUUUUUUUGUCACUAGAUAUUGACUUUGUUUCAUUUACUAUCAUUUAUUGCUCUUUAUGGUAUUUUUUUUUAAAUGUAGAAACAUUCCAUUUCAUUAUUUCAAGACAUCUUUGCUCUACAAUGACAAAAAAUUUUGUGCGGUACUCUACGUCUAGUCUCACUGUCUGGGUUUCUGAUAUGUGACACACCUGUAUAUGUGCGGCUUCAAAUAACACACCUGACCCGCACAGCCAGACAUUCAAUAUCAACUGAUACUAGUGUGUUCGCAUCUUUGUUGUCUAAUCAUUAUGCUGAAGAAAUGCUUUAAACAACACACCCUUAAACUAGCACACCAUACACCCUUCUCAAACACCCAAAUUCAAACUCUUCAAUCCUCACGCAAGCUGUACUUCAUGCACAAUGUGUAGAUCAGGUUAUGGUAUAUUAAUAAAGUGUGAAAUAUUGCUGUUCAUUACAGUUUGUGUGUUAUCCGGGACCGGCUUUGUUUACAAAAAUCUCUCAAUUAAAUAAAAUCCCAUUAAAAGCCUUGUGAUUGCUUUACCACCCUUGAAAGUGGAUUGAAAGAUAAUGUUAAUUAUACUCUUUAUUUGGCAUCCCUGAGAACUUGAACUGGAGUAACCCAAGACCACACCUUAUUUAUGAAACAGUUGGGAAUUACCGUACAUUAAUCCUCUGUUCUCUCAUCCUUCCAGCCCUGCAUUAGCAUACAGGAAGUACACAGAUCUGAC
Molecule: long non-coding RNA, 3132 nt
Organism: Ictalurus punctatus (channel catfish)
Lineage: Eukaryota; Metazoa; Chordata; Actinopteri; Siluriformes; Ictaluridae
Source: Ensembl